UGCACCUGUAAAAGGAGUGCCUCCUCCAACGUUGCCUUGCACAAACACUCCUAAAGACAGAGCAAGCAAGGAGCCCAAGGCUCGCUUCUCUCUCUGCUCACCAUCUCCCAGCUUGCUCAGCCAACACUUCCACCUAGCGGCCUGCUCCGCUCAUGCUGCAACCACCGUGGCUGUGAGAUGCGAUCCGGACUUUCUGCAGAGUCACAUUAAGCAACAUGUAAUCCUCCCUCCUUGUCCUUGGGACAGUGAAACUUGCAUGGUUCUACACACCUUCAUGCACAUUGCUGACAAUGAUGAUAGUAGUGAACAUCCUGCUGGACUUCAGUUCUUCAGUGCACUUCAUGGGUACUUUGACAUCAGUUGAAAAUGCAGCCUACGCAUAUGAGAAGACCUCCAGAGCACGAAAACCACAGCUCUCAUCUUGUGGUCCAGCAUGGUAUGGAGCCCUGUGCCUAUGUGUGUGCACAUUUGUUUCAGUCAGACUCUGCCUGGAGAUGAUAACAACACUACAAAAGCCCAGACAAAGACAAGAAAUAUGAAGCAGGCAGAAGCAAAGACUGUGGGAAAAGGGGCAGGGGGAAGGGGAAACAAACAAAUUCCAAAAAUAAGACAUUUACUUCCACUCAUUUAAAGUGCAUGGAAGCCAGACAAGUGAGAGACCAUGGCAUAAGCCCUACUCUCCUGAGUGUGUGUGACAAUGUCAGGGAGACCGGGGGACAUUGUAUAGACUCCCUGUACUAUGAAGGUUUACUCUCCAUAACUCACGGAACAGCAGGAAAUUUCCACAGGAUUGACAGAAAGCUUGUCUUGAGCUAAUAUUUUAAAAAGGUAAAGGAGACAACCCAGGUAAUUAUAGGCUUGUCAGCCUGACAUCGAUCCCAGGUAAAAUAAUGGAGCAGCUAAUAGGGGGAAUAUAAUUCAUGCCCAUCAGCAGGGGUUUAUGGAAAACAAACCCUGUCAAAUGAACUUAAUAUCUUUCUUUGCCUCAAUUACAAGUUUGGUAGAUGAAGUCAACAAGGUUGAUGAAAAAAUACUUAGAUAUCGCCAAAGCAUUCAGCUUGGUGUCAUGCACCACUUGGGUUUAAAUAUUAAAAUAAUACAAAGCCAAUGGGGCAUGUAGUAAAUGGAACAAACUGUCAGAGAACUGAAAAUAUGACUGAACAGAAAAUGUUGUCAUCUUGAUGGUGUGGUAUGUGUUGGGACCCACAAGGUCUGGUGGAAGUCACGGUGGUAUUUUACAUUCAUACCUGUAAUUCACUAAAAUCUGUUAAUGAAAACUGUGAUAUCACUAUGAAUGGAAGGGUGGAAAUUUGCAACGAGGGAUCACUGAUAUGGACACGUUCUUAAUUUCAGUAUCAAGUAAGGUAGAAUCAGAUAAAACUUUCAGUUGAGUCAAAUGUGAAGACACCUAGGAACAAAAAACGUAGGCAGUGUUUACAGGACAGGGAACAGGGGAAAAAUGUUUGCAAAAGUAAGUCAUGGACUCCAGUUUUUCAAGCAGAAAGUGUCCAGUGCAUCACUGUGACCAAAACACACAAUAAAGUAUUUAUUAGGGCUAUUUCUGAGGGCA
This is a long non-coding RNA of Coturnix japonica (Japanese quail), 1570 nucleotides long. Lineage: Eukaryota; Metazoa; Chordata; Aves; Galliformes; Phasianidae. The record is from Ensembl.